This 441-nucleotide ribosomal RNA is filed under the name uncultured bacterium. RNAcentral's name for it is "partial 16S ribosomal RNA". It matches the Rfam family "Bacterial small subunit ribosomal RNA", at positions 339 to 795 of the family's 1533-position model. The record is from RNAcentral.
CUACGGGGGGCUGCAGUGAGGAAUAUUGCACAACGGGGGGAACCCUGAUGCAGCAACGCCGCGUGGAGGAUGACGCAUUUCGGUGUGUAAACUCCUUUUAUAUGUCAAGAAAAUGACGGUAGCAUAUGAAUAAGCACCGGCGUAACUCCGUGCCAGCAGCCGCGGUAAUACGGAGGGUGCGAAGCGUUACUCGGAAUCACUGGGCGUAAAGGACGCGUAGGCGGGUUGGAAAGUCAGGUGUGAAAUCCUACAGCUUAACUGUAGAACUGCACUUGAAACUUCUAAUCUAGAGUAUGGGAGGGGGAGAUGGAAUUAGUGGUGUAGGGGUAAAAUCCGUAGAUAUCACUAGGAAUACCUAAAGCGAAGGCGAUCUCCUGGAACAUUACUGACGCUAAGGCGUGAAAGCGUGGGGAGCAAACAGGAUUAGAUACCCUGGUAGUC